This 349-nucleotide unclassified non-coding RNA is filed under the name soil metagenome. Its description in RNAcentral is "partial contains 5.8S ribosomal RNA, internal transcribed spacer 2, and large subunit ribosomal RNA". The stretch from base 5 to 119 matches the Rfam family "5.8S ribosomal RNA", at positions 40 to 154 of the family's 154-position model. The record is from RNAcentral.
GAUGAGAACGCAGCGAAAUGCGAUACGUAAUGUGAAUUGCAGAAUUCAGUGAAUCAUCGAGUCUUUGAACGCACAUUGCGCCCCCUGGUAUUCCGGGGGGCAUGUCUGUCCGAGCGUCAUUGCUGCCCUCAAGCACGGCUUGUGUGUUGGGCCCCCGCCCCCCGGUUCCCGGGGGGCGGGCCCGAAAGGCAGCGGCGGCACCGCGUCCGGUCCUCGAGCGUAUGGGGCUUCGUCACCCGCUCCGUAGGCCCGGCCGGCGCCCGCCGGCGACCCCCCCUCAAUCUUUCCAGGUUGACCUCGGAUCAGGUAGGGAUACCCGCUGAACUUAAGCAUAUCAAUAAGCGGAGGA